GUUAAGACAAGAUGGCUACUAUUGCUAAAGUGUAGUGUAAAACAACAUUAUUCAGUAAUAUCUGAAAUAUGACAAGAUUAUACCUCCAGAUUAUUAAACAGUUUAAAAGGGGGGUAUGAUUAGUAAAGAGUUGGAAAAUUAAAAUGUUCAGAAAGAUAUUCUGAUAAAAGGAAAAUUGAAGGUUAUACAUCACAUGGCACAAAUUUAAUGAUCACAAGAUGAUAGAUCUCACUAUAAGAAAUGAGAAUAUUUUGGAGUCUACGUAAUUUAAUGUUAAACUGUAUAAUAAUACGAGUGAGUUGUAAAUGAUGUAAGCCACUGUGUUGAUGCUGCACAUGUUUUUUGUUUUAAUGUAGGUAAAGCGUGACAGAUCAUUGUUGUGACAAUAAAUUAGGAAAGCAUUUCAUUAGACAACUGGACAUCGGCUGUUGGAAAGAGACUUUUCAUAUGACCUGCAAACUGUGAUGGAAGAUUCUACAGACUUAAUUUGAUACAGAAGAUCAACAGACUUAAACAGGAAUAAAUUAUUAACACUAACAUACAUAUCAAUUCCUAAAUAUUAACCAAGAAGAAAACGGACAAUGAAAAGUUAUUUAUCAGUUAUGAGUGUAUUAAUACCAAGAUAGAGUAUUUAUAAAUGCGUAACACAUGAAGUAAAAUCACAAAAGCAUAGUAUUAUGAAGAGAACUAUUACAUUAUGACCUAUAUAUAUGAUGAGUAGUGUAA
Molecule: non-coding RNA, 726 nt
Organism: Pelobates cultripes (western spadefoot toad)
Lineage: Eukaryota; Metazoa; Chordata; Amphibia; Anura; Pelobatidae
Source: the annotation of a GenBank genome assembly